This 404-nucleotide long non-coding RNA is filed under the name Homo sapiens (human). RNAcentral's name for it is "HSALNT0365034". Lineage: Eukaryota; Metazoa; Chordata; Mammalia; Primates; Hominidae. The record is from RNAcentral.
GUCUGGGAGCUCGUCUAAUUCUGCCACUUUAAGGGUCUACUCUGCAGUCCUCAAAGUUCAGAUGAUUCUUCCCCAAACCAUCAAAGACAGCCCUGGCUGUCUCUGAGUUCUUAUGCCCAUGAGGAUGACCUAUGAAUCCCAGAAAGAUACAGAAUUGAGAAUCACCAGAGAACUCUGUUCCAGGAAUCAAGUGAUUAAAGUUACAGUUCCAGUGUCAUCACUAAAUAGCAAGGUGACCUUGGAUGCCUCAUUUUAUCAAAUCUCUCCAUUUUUCAACCUCUAAAAGUAGGAUAAUUUCACAGAUUUGUUAUAAGGAUGAAAAGAGAAAAUGGAUGGGAAAAGUUUGUGAAAGCCUUUGAGAUGUAGGACAAUAAAAAUGGGAAGAGAUCUGCUGGGAUGUUAUC